UGAGGAACAUGACUUUCGGUGGGGGAGUAGCCGGCCCAACGGCCGGGUAAUACCGCGUACGACCAUUUGGGGACGAUCCCUGAGUGGUGAAAGCAGCAAUGCGCCGAUGGAGUGCCUCGCGGCCUAUCAGCUAGUUGGUGAGGUAACGGCUCACCAAGGCGACGACGGGUAGCUGGUCUGAGAGGAUGGCCAGCCACAUUGGGACUGAGACACGGCCCAGACUCCCGUAGGGACGG
RNAcentral lists this ribosomal RNA (236 nucleotides) under uncultured bacterium. RNAcentral's name for it is "partial 16S ribosomal RNA". It matches the Rfam family "Bacterial small subunit ribosomal RNA", at positions 118 to 347 of the family's 1533-position model. The record is from RNAcentral.